UGGGGAAUUUUGGACAAUGGGCGAAAGCCUGAUCCAGCAAUGCCGCGUGUGUGAAGAAGGCCUUCGGGUUGUAAAGCACUUUUGUCCGGAAAGAAAUCCUUGGCUCUAAUACAGUCGGGGGAUGACGGUACCGGAAGAAUAAGCACCGGCUAACUACGUGCCAGCAGCCGCGGUAAUACGUAGGGUGCAAGCGUUAAUCGGAAUUACUGGGCGUAAAGCGUGCGCAGGCGGUUUGCUAAGACCGAUGUGAAAUCCCCGGGCUCAACCUGGGAACUGCAUUGGUGACUGGCAGGCUAGAGUAUGGCAGAGGGGGGUAGAAUUCUACGUGUAGCAGUGAAAUGCGUAGAGAUGUGGAGGAAUACCGAUGGCGAAGGCAGCCCCCUGGGCCAAUACUGACGCUCAUGCACGAAAGCGUGGGGAGCAAACAGGAUUAGAUACCCUGGUAGUCCACGCCCUAAACGAUGUCAACUAGUUGUUGGGGAUUCAUUUCCUUAGUAACGUAGCUAACGCGUGAAGUUGACCGCCUGGGGAGUACGGUCGCAAGAUUAAAACUCAAAUGAAUUGACGGGG
Molecule: ribosomal RNA, 570 nt
Filed under: uncultured bacterium
Lineage: Bacteria
Description: partial 16S ribosomal RNA
Rfam family: Bacterial small subunit ribosomal RNA
Source: RNAcentral